AGUGAACGCUGGCGGUAGGCCUAACACAUGCAAGUCGAACGGCAGCACAGUAAGAGCUUGCUCUUACGGGUGGCGAGUGGCGGACGGGUGAGGAAUACAUCGGAAUCUACUUUUUCGUGGGGGAUAACGUAGGGAAACUUACGCUAAUACCGCAUACGACCUACGGGUGAAAGCAGGGGAUCUUCGGACCUUGCGCGAUUGAAUGAGCCGAUGUCGGAUUAGCUAGUUGGCGGGGUAAAGGCCCACCAAGGCGACGAUCCGUAGCUGGUCUGAGAGGAUGAUCAGCCACACUGGAACGGAGACACGGUCCAGAGUCCUACGGGAGGCAGCAGUGGGGAAUAUUGGACAAUGGGCGCUAGCCUGAUCCAGCCAUACCGCGUGGGUGAAGAAGGCCUUCGGGUUGUAAAGCCCUUUUGUUGGGAAAGAAAAGCAGCAGGUUAAUACCCCGCUGUUCUGACGGUACCCAAAGAAUAAGCACCGGCUAACUUCGUG
This 492-nucleotide ribosomal RNA is filed under the name uncultured bacterium. RNAcentral describes it as "partial 16S ribosomal RNA". It matches the Rfam family "Bacterial small subunit ribosomal RNA", at positions 29 to 507 of the family's 1533-position model. The record is from RNAcentral.